Molecule: ribosomal RNA, 254 nt
Filed under: uncultured bacterium
Lineage: Bacteria
Description: partial 16S ribosomal RNA
Rfam family: Bacterial small subunit ribosomal RNA
Source: RNAcentral
UACGUAGGGGGGGAGCGUUGUCCGGAUUUAUUGGGCGUAAAGAGCUCGUAGGCGGUUCGAUAAGUCGGACGUGAAAUCUCCACGCUCAACGUGGAGGGGCCGUUCGAUACUGUCGUGACUCGAGUCCGGUAGGGGAGUGUGGAAUUCCCGGUGUAGCGGUGAAAUGCGCAGAGAUCGGGAGGAACACCCGUAGCGAAGGCGGCACUCUGGGCCGGUACUGACGCUGAGGAGCGAAAGCGUGGGGAGCAAACAGG